Molecule: RNA transcript, 7978 nt
Organism: Archocentrus centrarchus (flier cichlid)
Lineage: Eukaryota; Metazoa; Chordata; Actinopteri; Cichliformes; Cichlidae
Exons: 2
Source: RefSeq, a predicted model, not a curated record
CAGUGGGCAUGCAAACUUUUUUCUUCUGUCUUUUCUUUGUUUUGUUGUGAUACUCCAUCCAGUUCAGUGACUCUUUACUUGGAGCUCUAACAGAUAGACUUAAAGGACGGGGAAGAUCAGGGUUUGGGUUUAGUGAACUGUUUCCACACAGGAAUUGACUUUUCUCACAUGUAGCACACAACUGGAGACAGUCUGCAUCAGAUGCUGUAAUUGACACCGAAUUGUCUUGGAGUGGCCACAGGAGGCGGUGUGUGUGGUGGAGAGGAGGUGAAGGACCAGCAAAAGGGAAUUAGGUUUUAUGGCCCUCACCUGCUUUCUGUUGGCAUGCGUUGCCUCAUUUUCGUUUGUUUGGUGUGGCGUGGUGUCCGGUUUCCCCGUGGCUUCUUUUUCCUUGUUGGAUGUUUGCUUGGUGAGUUGUCGGUUUGAAUUUUUAUCUUCGUUUCUUUUGAAUUGUAUGGAUUGUAUUUAAGGAUUUUAUUGUUUAUUAUUAGUCUUAAGGUGACGGGCAGCCUUAUAGAUGAUCCGUAAUAUAGCACCCCUCGGUGACGGAACGAGGUACGUUUGCCUUUUGUGAUUUAGUUGUUGUGAUAAUUGUAAGUUUCCUGUUGAUGAUGUAUUGUAAAUAAAUUGUUUUUUUUGUAUCUGUUUUUAAGUUUUCACGGUGCACAAUGAAGUGGAAAUAAAGAGUUGAAGCACCUGUCGAGACUCCCGUUUAUUGACCCAGGGGCAGCUACAGUGAAAACUCGACCAUCGGAAGAGUAAGGCUUCAGCUAAGAAAAUCAACGUUAUUGCACAAGUAUUUGAUAACGGCGGUCCGGCCCAGUGUACGCCCCUUUCGCGCACCGGCGAGCUCAGCCAAUGGACGGUAUUUGUUACGCUUCUAGUUCAAGCGAACUGGGUAGCGAUACAUAAGAGACUGGUGAUAAAGCCUAUGAUUAAGUGCUUAAUGUUUAGGGUUUGAAUGUGUUUUAUAAUGUAUUCCUUUUCUCCUUUUUGGGGUUGAAGGGUAAAGUUAUAUUGAUUAAAAUAUUUGUAGUUUAUUGUUGUGGUUUAAUGUCGAAUUUUAGUAUUGUUUGGUGAAUUUGGAAAUUGUAAACUAAAGGGUAAAUGAGGUAAAAUGUCCGUUAAAAAUCAAGUUCUAGAUAAUACUGCCGACCAACCAAGCAGGUCCAGCUCCCGUCAAAGAGUUUUGACCGAGAAGGGUCAGGAGCUGCGUAGAGAGAGAGCCGAACAACAUGAAAGGUCUUUUAUGAAGGAAUAUGAUGUGUGGAAACAAACAGCUCGAGAUUCCAGGAGGAAAUUGAAGCGAUUUUGUACAGUGAAUGACCUUAAUGUAAUCCAGCAGAAUUUAAAAACUAAUUAUGAUUUAGUAUGUCAGUCCUAUGAGCCCAUCAGGCGUAACUGCACUGCCACACCAGACAUUAUUAAGAAAAUGGAUGCUUGUGUUUCUCUCACCACCGAAAUCGGCGAACUUGUAGUUAAAAGAAAGGAAACUAUUGAAGAAGUUUUUAAUGAUGAAUUGGAGAAAGAACGAGUGAGGAUGACCCUAAAUAAAGGGGAGUAUGGGUCCAUUUUUGGAGGUACAGAUACAGAGACUGUGAUUUCUGAAAUGUCGGUAGCUUGUCCUCCUUCCUCCCAUUCAGUGGUUUCAAGUAAAUUAGCAGAGGCUGAGGCAGAGUUCGCUGUUAAGGUGGAACAGGCAAAGGCGGUGAGAAAAAUUCAAGCUCAACAAAUGAAAAUGUGCAAAUUGGAGAAUGAAUGGAAAUUAGAAGAAGCGAAGAUGCUGGCUGAAAUUAAACAGAAGGAAGUUGAAAUGCGUUUCAAACAAGAGGAGGAGAAGCUGCGGUUAAAACAAAUAGAAGCAGAAAAUGAUGUGGAGGUGGCAGUGGCGCGUUUGAGGGCUUAUAGGGAUUUAGAAGACGGUUUGAGGAAUCAGGGAGAAAAGGGUGAUCAAGGAGAUAUCCGGUCUAGUCACCAAGGGAAGGAUAUCGGGGAUCCAUCAAAUUCAGGGGUUGUACCGCUUCAAUCUCAACAGACAUUAAUCGGAGUUAAAAAUCAGGAGACAGCUGACUUAGCUCAAGCCAUUGCGGGUUCCUUGAGCAUGUGUCACCUGUCUCCCCCCGACUUGGCAACCUUUUCCGGGGACCCCUUGAAAUUUAUUGACUGGAAGAUCUCCUUUAUGACUCUUAUUGGUAAGAAACCCCUCCCAGUCUGUGAAAAAAUGUUAUAUUUGAAACAUUACCUUGUAGGGGAGGCACGCAAGGCUGUGGAGGGAUUUUUUUAUAGAAAUUCUGAGGAUGCCUAUCACAGUGCUUGGACAUUGUUAGAGGAGAGAUAUGGAAAUCCAUUUAUCGUCCAGAGAGCUCUCCGAGAAAGGCUUAUGAAAUGGCCUAGGAUCAGUGAAAAUGAUCCCUUGGCCCUUAGAGAUUUUGUGGAUUUUUUAAAGGGGUGUGCUGAGGCUAUGCCUUAUGUCAAGGGAUUGGACAUUUUGAACGAUUGUGAGGAAAAUCAUAAAUUGCUUAAGAAGUUACCGGAGUGGAUUGUACGUAAAUGGGGUAGGUUUGUUGUUGAUGAGUUAGAUGCAUCCGGUAAUUAUCCAGGCUUUUUGCAUUUUGUGGAUUUCCUGCAAAAGGAGGUCCGUAUUGUAUGCAAUCCUAUUGUUUCCCCUUUCUUAUUGAACUCUAAGGCAGCGGAAGAUAAGUCAAAGCGAGUCAGUACCUUUAAUACGAGCUCUCAAAGUGAUGCCCCCCCUUUUGAAACAAAUGUAACAAAUGGUUCUAAAUCAAGAAUAUCUUGUUUGGUUUGUGAAAAUGAAACGCACAGUGUAGCAAGAUGUCCCAUCUUCGCAGAGAAAACAAUUGAUGAUAAGAGAACCUUUAUUCGAGAGAACCGACUCUGUUUUGGUUGUUUGUGGGGGGGGCACGUUAUGAGGAAUUGCAGGAGGCGGCACACGUGUGCUACUUGUGGACGGCGUCAUCCAACCUGUUUGCAUAGUGAGAGUGACAAUUCGUCUGCCACAGCACUGGAGCCACACCUCUCUCCGGGGGUGGAUGACGCCGGUCAGGAGGUACGUAGUGUAUCGUCUCAUGCUGUGACUAAGGGCCUUCCUUCCACAUCUAAUAUCGUGCCAGUGUUCCUGUCAUCGGUGGAAGAACCACGUAGGGAGGUGCUCACUUAUACCUUACUUGACCCACAGAGUGAUACAACCUUUAUCUUGGAGGAUUUAGUUAGCAAGUUACAUGUAAAUAUGCAACCAGUACAAUUAAAACUGAGCACAAUGACAGCUGUUGACACCGUGAUUAAAAGUGGGAUUUCACAUGGUUUGCAAAUUAGAGGAGUUCAUUCCGAAGCCUAUACUAAAUUGCCUAAGGUUUAUUCGAGGGAUUUUAUUCCGGUGGAUAGAUCUCAUAUUCCAACUGAUAGUACCGCUCUGCAGUGGCCUCAUUUGAAGCAUUUGGCCGGUAAGCUGUUGCCAUUGCAAGAAUGUGAAGUUGGAUUGCUUGUGGGUUAUGAUUGUACGUCAGCAUUGGUACCGUUGGAGGUUGUUAGAGGGGGUGAGAACGAACCCUUCGCGCAAAGAACGGUACUCGGAUGGAGUAUAACCGGGUCCUCCAACCCACAUUUCGAUCGGCAAGGAAAUCAGAGCUUUGUGCAUCGAGUUACGGCAAGAGAGGUGUUCGCACCACCCGGUAGUGAUAUUCUUAAGGUUCUUGAGUCGGACUUUAAUGAGAAGUCCUAUAAAGAUCAGUGCGUUUCUCAGGAGGAUAUGCUUUUUAUACAACUUCUCCGUGAUAAUAUAUGGCAAAGAGAGGAUGGACAUUAUGAGCUCCCCCUGCCUUUUAAGAGUAAUAUACCCCCCAUAUUGCCAAAUAAUAAGGGCGUAGCUAUUGCUCGUUUACAGCAUUUGAAGAGGAAACUAAGGGCUAAUCAGCAGUAUUAUGAUCAUUAUCAGACCUUUAUGGAGGAGAUCCUCAAAAGGGGUAAUGCAGAGUUAGCCCCCCCACUAUGCGAGGGAGAAGUAGUGUGGUAUAUACCGCAUCAUGGUGUAUACCACUCGCAUAAUCUGGAGAAGUUGAGGGUGGUUUUUGAUUGCUCAGCAAGGUUUCGGGGAGUUUCAUUAAAUGAUGUUCUAUUGACUGGUCCUGACUUGAUUAACUCUUUGAUAGGAGUCCUUUGUCGCUUUCGGAAGGAAAAUGUAGCUGUGGUAUGCGACAUCGAAAGGAUGUUUCAUCAAUUCUUUGUCCCCCCGGCAGCGCGGAACUAUUUGAGGUUCCUGUGGUGGGGUGGUGCAGAUCUGGAAGCGGAACCGCAAGAAUAUCGGAUGACAGUUCACCCCUUUGGCGCUACUUCAUCCCCUGGGUGCGCUAAUUUUGGCCUCAAGUAUCUGGCCCAGAAACAUACGGUGGAUUAUCCUUUGGCAUCGGCUUUCAUUGAGAAGAAUUUUUAUGUAGAUGACGGCCUAACUAGUGUUCCUUCUGUUAAGGAUGCAGAGGAUUUGAUUAUAGAAGCACGGGAGUUAUGUAAGAAAGGGGGCCUACGUCUGCAUAAAUUUAACUCAAACAGAUUGGAGGUACUGGAUUGUGUUGACGCUUCUGAGAGAGCGACGAAGGCUGGAAGCUUGCAUCUUGGUUUAGAUGAGCCGUUAAUAGGACGUGCUUUGGGCAUCCAGUGGUCAAUAGAACAAGAUAGUUUUAGUUUUGAUGUAAACCUUAAGAAUCAGCCUUCUAGUCGUCGUGGCAUUCUCUCAGUUAUCGCCUCUAUAUACGAUCCGCUCGGGUUUAUUUCCCCCGUUACCUUAUGCGGAAAGCGUAUUCUGCAGGAUUUGUGUCGACAGGGUGCUGGAUGGGAUGAGCCUCUUCCUGAGGAUUUAGGCUCUCGAUGGGAGGAGUGGAAAGGGGACUUGCCCAAAUUGCAAGAAAUUAUAAUACCCAGAUGUUAUCAUCCGCCAGAAUUUAAAUCUAUUGUUCGGAUAGAGUUGCAUCAUUUUUCAGACGCCAGUAGCGUCGGUUAUGGCGCAUGUUCAUAUGUGAGGUACAUUAAUAACGACAGAGAGGUUUACUGUAGCCUAGUGAUGGCUAAAGCAAGAGUAGCACCCACGAAGCUCCUGAGUAUACCUAGAAUGGAGCUUUCUGCUGCUGUGGUUUCCGCCAGAAUGAGUGCCAUGUUGAGGGUUGAACUGGAAAUGAAAAUCGAUGAGGAAUUUUUUUGGACAGAUUCCCAAGUGGUAUUGGCCUAUAUUAAUAAUGACGUGAGAAGGUUUCAUGUAUUUGUGGCAAAUAGACUCCAAGUAAUAAAGGGAGAAACAAACUGUAGCCAGUGGCAUUUUGUUGAUACAUCUGAAAAUCCAGCUGAUCAUGCCUCCAGGGGUUUAAAUGCUUCUGGCCUUUUAUCAACUAACUGGAUGAUGGGACCAAGUUUUUUGUGGCAGCAUGAGCUGAAGUUAACAUCCCCUCCUUCCGCUGUGCUGUUGGUGCGUGAUCCAGAAGUGAGGGCAGCACAAGUGAAUGUGGCGAUUACAAGCGAUUGCGAUGAUAUGCUUGAUAGGUUGAGCCGAUUUUCCUCUUGGAUACGGCUCCUUAAGGUGGUGGCGAGAAUCAGGAGGAUGACAUCCAGACAAAGGCAUGAUAGUGAUCACAUUACGGUAGAGGAAAUUGAGAGCGCGACGGAAGUGGUAGUUAGACUUGUCCAGCAACAAGCCUUCUCCGAAGAGAGAAGAACGUUGGAGAAGGGGGAUAGUCUUCCCCACUCCAGUCCCCUUUUUCGUUUCAAUCCUAUUUUGGAUAAGGGAAUUCUUAGGGUUGGUGGGAGGUUGAGGCAGUCAUCUCUCAGUCAAGGGUUGAAACACCCAAUUAUUCUUCCUAAGAGUUCACACAUUACCGAGCUUGUGCUUCUUCAUUUUCAUGAGAGGAUUUGUCACCAAGGUCGAAGCCAGACUCAAAUGGAACUUCGAGCAAAUGGGUUUUGGGUCAUUGGUGGGAGUAAAUCCACUGCUAGGUUGAUACAUCAUUGUGUGACUUGUAGGAAGCUUCGACGUCCGGCAGAGGAGCAGCAGAUGGCUGAGCUCCCGGAGGCACGGGUGGAGGCCUCAGCACCAUUCACAUAUUGUGGGAUGGACGUGUUUGGUCCCUUUAUUAUUAAAAGGGCACGCACGGAACACAAGAGGUACGGAUUGAUUUUUACUUGUCUUUCCUCAAGGGCUAUUCACAUUGAGACGUUGGAAGAUUUGUCAACGGAUGCGUUUAUAAACGCUUUAAGAUGUUUUAUCAGCCUCAGGGGGGCUGUACGUCAGCUUUAUUGUGAUCAUGGCACAAAUUUUGUGGGGGCUAGGAACGAGUUUAAGAAGGCUUUGAAACAGUGUGAUCCCAAGAAAUUGGAGGCUUAUCUGGCAAAUAAACAGUGUGAAUUCAUUUUUAGUGCGCCAGCGGCGAGUCAUGCGGGUGGCGUUUGGGAGCGGCAAAUUCGAACCGUGCGGAAUGUUUUGAAUGCCACGCUUUGUGUCUGUCCAGGUAGGCUCGAUGAUUUCUCACUUCGAACACUCUUUUAUGAGGCUAUGGCUAUAGUGAAUAGCCGCCCCUUGAAUGUGGACGGUAUCAAUGAUCCCAGAUCAUUGGAACCUUUGACACCUAAUCAUCUUAUUUUGAUGAAGUCUCAGAUUGCCCUUCCUCCUGCUGGGAAAUUUGUAAGAGAGGAUGUAUAUGCAACGAAACGAUGGCGACGAGUGCAAUACUUGACUGAGCAAUUUUGGGGACGCUGGAAGAGGGAAUAUUUAUUGAAUAUUUCCCUGCGUCAGAAAUGGCAUAAGCCUCGGCGCAACCUUAAAACAAACGACAUUGUCAUCGUCAUUGAGGAUACACUUCCGAGGAAUCAGUGGCAGUUGGGGCGAGUGGUGGAGACCAUUCAAGGAACUGAUAAGUUGGUUCGUAGGGUUAGGGUUCAAGUCACAGAUCGGAGGCUGCAUGGGAAAUCGGACCCCCUUUUAGGACCGUCAUCCUUGAGAGACCCAUCCAGAAGUUAGUGUUGUUGCUCGGAAAUGAAUGAUUGGAAAAUUUGAUUCCUUAUUUUAGUUGUGAGACAGUUCGGUGUCAGAGUUUUAACUGUUUGUGAAUCAUGUAUAAUUCGAUUGAUUAUGAAUUUAUCGUGGUAUGAUUGGGGGGAGUGUAAUUGACACCGAAUUGUCUUGGAGUGGCCACAGGAGGCGGUGUGUGUGGUGGAGAGGAGGUGAAGGACCAGCAAAAGGGAAUUAGGUUUUAUGGCCCUCACCUGCUUUCUGUUGGCAUGCGUUGCCUCAUUUUCGUUUGUUUGGUGUGGCGUGGUGUCCGGUUUCCCCGUGGCUUCUUUUUCCUUGUUGGAUGUUUGCUUGGUGAGUUGUCGGUUUGAAUUUUUAUCUUCGUUUCUUUUGAAUUGUAUGGAUUGUAUUUAAGGAUUUUAUUGUUUAUUAUUAGUCUUAAGGUGACGGGCAGCCUUAUAGAUGAUCCGUAAUAUAGCACCCCUCGGUGACGGAACGAGUUUUCACGGUGCACAAUGAAGUGGAAAUAAAGAGUUGAAGCACCUGUCGAGACUCCCGUUUAUUGACCCAGGGGCAGCUACAGAUGCCUUAAUCUGCCUGGGUAAAGAGUGCUGUAGGUAGAGCUCACUCACGCACUGUGUAUUUUCUGCAGUAUUCUCACAUCGGCUGGCAGGGUAAUGUCUGAUCCAACUGAGCUGCUGUAGAAAAUAGAUGAUUGGAUGGAUGGAUUUGUAUUCUUAGAUACAGUCCUUCCAGAUAAUAUCUAGUAAUAAUUUAUGCUCAGGGCUGCAGUGCAGUGUGGAAAUGCUUAUAAAUUGCUGGUUAUGGAUUAGGCUUGUCUUCUGUUAUACACUUGCAGUAAAUGAGAUACAAUUUGGUUUCUUUCCAUGAUUAAUGAUCAUCCUCCCUGAAGGGUUUUUGUUUAUGUGUCUUUUUAAGUCGCUUCUAAUUCAUACGUUCUUCCUCCAUCCA